UCUUCAGUAGUAUAGUGGUUAGUAUUUCCGCCUUUCACGUGGGCGAAAGGGGUUCGAUUCCCAGCCGGGGAG
Cordylochernes scorpioides is the source of this 72-nucleotide non-coding RNA. The record is from the annotation of a GenBank genome assembly. NCBI's taxonomy places the organism in Eukaryota, Metazoa, Arthropoda, Arachnida, Pseudoscorpiones, Chernetidae.